This 372-nucleotide ribosomal RNA is filed under the name uncultured organism. Its description in RNAcentral is "partial 16S ribosomal RNA". It matches the Rfam family "Bacterial small subunit ribosomal RNA", at positions 527 to 896 of the family's 1533-position model. The record is from RNAcentral.
GUAGGUGGCAAGCGUUGUCCGGAAUUAUUGGGCGUAAAGCGCGCGCAGGCGGUCCUUUAAGUCUGAUGUGAAAGCCCACGGCUCAACCGUGGAGGGUCAUUGGAAACUGGGGGACUUGAGUACAGAAGAGGAAAGCGGAAUUCCACGUGUAGCGGUGAAAUGCGUAGAGAUGUGGAGGAACACCAGUGGCGAAGGCGGCUUUCUGGUCUGUAACUGACGCUGAGGCGCGAAAGCGUGGGGAGCAAACAGGGAUUAGAUACCCUGGUAGUCCACGCCGUAAACGAUGAGUGCUAAGUGUUAGGGGGUUUCCCGCCCCUUAGUGCUGCAGCUAACGCAUUAAGCACUCCGCCUGGGGAUACGGCCGCAAGGCUG